This 32199-nucleotide long non-coding RNA is filed under the name Populus tremula. RNAcentral's name for it is "long non-coding RNA (PTRE_LNC000509)". The record is from RNAcentral. Lineage: Eukaryota; Viridiplantae; Streptophyta; Magnoliopsida; Malpighiales; Salicaceae.
CAAGACAAGAUCAUUGGAUCAAUGCUAUCUGCCAAUAGCUCCAUUCUCCAGGUUUCUUCUUUCCAGAGUGCUUCCUCCCUCAAGCUGGUGAAAGGGAAAGCCAGGCUUCCCCAAAUCCACAUCAUGUAGAUUGCAUUGGGGUUGACUACUCUCCCUUGUGGAUCCAAAACCACAAGCAAGGGCCUCUUGUUGAAGUGCCACACCUCUUUGAUGUACCUGAUGACUGCAACAUCGAGCAAUGAAGGGUGAUAGACAGAGUACCAUGGCAUCAUCCUCUGAAAAUCCUCAAACUGCUUUUGCUUUGUUUCAUUCCAUGAUCUGUCCACAACUGGGAGCCAUACAACCUCAUACUGGCUCUCUGGUCUUCCUGGUUGCUCCCGCGCCUCACUGUACAUUUGUUGCAGCAUUGAAAGCUCUCCAUGGGAGAUUUCGAGGUCCGAAAUCAGCAGCAACACGCUCCUCCUUCUCAACACAUCAAGGCUUGCCUGUAAUUAACAGUGGGAAUUCUGUUUUAUCCUUGUAUAUUCAUAUAGGAGGAUCAUUAACAAAUAUCUCGUCAGGAAGUAUGAUUGAUAUCUGCAUAGCUAUUAUGUGGUAAGAUUUCAAGCAAUCUCUCGUCUCUAUCAUCCAGUGAAUUAACUAACAGCAAUAUAAUCUGAAUAAAAUGGACUGAAAGAACAGAACAAUAACCGAACCUUUUCUUGGUGGAACCAUCAAAGAGUGGUAGUUGAUCGUCCUUGGCAUAAAUCAAAGCCUUUAGAAUCUUCAUGUUGUCAAUGUGGAAAGCUUCGAACAGGCUCACAAGUGUUUGAAAUGCUUCAAUAUGUCUUUUCUCAUCUGGAUCACAGAGAGAUCACUAGUUAUCACCAUCCAGCAUGUAUUUUGCAUCAAAACAUAAUUUUUUUAAAUGGUGAAUAUUAUAAUAUACUGUUUGAUAUGAAUUGCACUUGUUUGACAGGGCUCGGACUCACCUAUGUGUUGAAAAAAAGGGUGAGCUGCUUCAUGAGAUGGCUGUGAAUGUUAUUAACCUUGUGGGCCAAGCUUGAUAGCUCCCAAGCCUCUGUUGUGGAUGCUAUGUACCUGUGGAGCAGAUAGUGAGAUGCAAAAGAAAAGUUUAGCACCCUUUUCACUCUACUUUUGGCUGCUUUGCAUGCAUGUGAAAACCCUUCUAGUACUUUCAUAGCCAGAGCCAGAGUAGACUGAGCUUUCUACAUGUUAUUUUGGUGCAAGAAUAUUUCUGAUUAAUAUAAGCAAAUUUAUCAUGGAGAAGGAAACACAUACUCAUGACCCAUGCCAAUAAGGCCCAUAAUUUGCGAUGCGCAAGCCACAAUACUCCUGAUGGUCCAGUAAACAGCAGUGGGGAUAUGCGGCGGUGGCAGUUAACAUUUCUGGAGUGUCAGGGGUGAUGUAUUGCGACGGAAGCUCCUUGAACUCAACUAUGCAUUUGGCCACAUCCAACAUGGCCUUGAUAAGGCUUGUGAGUGCCUCAAACUUGGGCUUCAGAUUGUCUGCUCGUUCAAUUAUAUCCGGCAAUUGCUUCAGAAGUGCAACCGCCUUAGCAGUGGGUUUGUAAGGUAAAGCUGGGCGACAAGCCAAAACUCCCCAUAGUUCACGGCAAAUCCAGCUAACGCUAGCACCACCUUUUCGUCCCACGAGUAGUUUGAUACCAAGUUGAAGAUUGCCAAAGUUGUUGCAUGUGCAUCUCCACCUCCAGAACACUUGCAGGACAUCUGUUGGAAAAAACAGCGUAUUCGUAAGUGUCUUUAAACAUCAUGAACUUAUAAACCCACAAAUCUCUUCUGUCCGAACUUACCUCGCAGGAAAUCUUGUUGAUGUUGUAAGACAGCAUCUCGAUCGUUUCAUGAAAGCCAUUUUGAAGAGCCUUCUCCUCCAACUCAUCAAGUUGUGCUUGAUGAGCUCCCUGAAAUAUAGAAGUCACCAGUGAUGAUCAGAAACAUAAUAAUAAUGCUGAAUAAAUUAUCAUACCAAUAUAACAAGCACAUAGAAAUAUAGCAUGCAACUGGUUAGGUAUAUACCUGCUGCUGAACAAUGCUGGUCAUGCCUAGGGCAGGAGUGGCACGGAGGAAAAUGUCCUCAACAAUAUGAAGAAGAGGCUUCACUGAAAAUUCACGGCCAUCAGGAGCAUGAGUGGCCUGAAUUUGCUUCAUCAUUGCGGUGUCAUCCGAUGAUGAAAACAUACUGCGUUCACGCCUCAUCUUUAGGUACCACUGCCAUCGAGGUCAUAGAAAACUAUAUAGAUUCAAAUUCUAAGAGGGAAAGAGAGAGGAGCGAACAGCUUGUGUUGGUAUGGAUGUGGUUAGCUGAUCCGAGACUUGUAUUUAUAGGUCAAAUUAAGCUAGAAUUAAUACCUUGCUUCAGACAGGGUCUAAGCUCUAAAGUGCACCAGGGAUAAAUUUUGGAUAAGGUCCUGUCUACAAUAUUGUACCUGAUUUUACUAUCUCUUUUGGCUUUGAUUUUAACUAUGUUUUCGAAGAUUCGAAUACUAUGAUUGCUGAUUUUACUUCUAUAUGUUUUGUGGAACACGUUGAUGCUGAGUUUGUCACACAGUCACAGUUUAAAUUUUAAUUUUGUGGAACACGUUGAUUCCGAGCAUGUCACAGGUCCAUACUUUCCGGUCAGCCCAUGAUCGGAAUGUUGUUUCAGCGGCAACGCCCUUGCUCUGCUUGUUGAGACUCAGAAGCUGAAAUCCUUUCGUUUUCUUAUAGAAAUCAUUAACGAGUUGUAACUCAUCUGACAUCAAUGUAAUUUACUCUUUUCAAGAGAUCUGGAAUUCAAAUUUCAACGUCAUAGAAUGAAAUUACGUUCUCAAACAAAGAUAAAGGCAGCAGUACUCUGAUCAUAUUAUUAUGAUGGAAGGCAACAUUCAAUCCACAAGCAAUUAUCUGUGCUGCUGCACCCGUGUGUAAAACAAAAUUUCAUGUGUUAUUCUGAAAUGGUUGCACGUUAAUUUUAACCAGACAAUACGAUGAAGGAAUGGAGAAAAUGUUUAUGAACUUUCUCUGAAGAAUGUUUCUUUGUCUUUUAUGACGUAAGAAACCUUUCAUCAUUAAAGUUAAAGGUUAUUAGAUGCUCAUUGUUUUCUCUGUUUUCCAUAUCACCAGCAAUAAUGACGCAUCUCUUUCCUUCACUUUGUGGUAGGGUUUUUGUGUUUUAAUAUUUUUUUUAAAAAAUUAAUUUUUAAUUUAUUUUAAAUUAAUUUUUAAAUAUUAUUUUAAUAUACUGAUAUCAAAAAUAGAUUUUAUUUCAUUAUAAUAUUUUAAAAACACUUUAAAAAAUAAUUAUAUCAUAAAACCAAACAAACUCAUCAUCAUUAAUUAUUAAAAAUAAAUUUUAAUAAUUCAUGAUAAAUAAAUAAAUAAAUUCAUGCUGUUUAUUAAAACUAAUUAUUUAGUUUUUAUAGUAUAAAAAAUGAUUAAAGAGUCCCCUAACCAAUACUUACCAUCCUUAAUUCAAUAGGAUUUUCUUUUCUUCUAAGAAAUUUCUACUUUUCUGAUUAGAUCUCUUUAUCUUACAUGCUUUUUUAGUUUCUCUUUUCUUUUUAUUUCUCAAAAACAAAAAAAUAAAAAUAAAAGCCGAAACAAAUAUAAAAUUGAAGAAAGGAACAUCCAAACCAAGCCACCUUUCUAAAUUUACGAUUAAUUGAUUAAUUAAUUUUGUCAAACUGUAAGUACUAAUUUAUAGUUUAGUCACCACGAACCAUCCAGAUUCUAAACUCCAAGCCAAGCCACCUUUCUCCCCAUUUCUUUACAUUUUAAAAGGGUGUUUUCUAUUUGCUCAUCCUGCAUGAGUCAAGUUAUUUAUGAGAAUUAUUUUUUCCUCGUAUUAAUUUUUUUAUUUCAAAUUAAUAUAUUUUUUAGUAUUUUUAGAUUAUUUUGAUACACUAAUAUCCAAAAUAAUUUUAAAAAAUAAAAAAUAUUAUUUUAAUAUAUUUUUAAAUAAAAAAUAUUUUAAAAAACGACUAUAAUCAUUCUUCCAAUUAAAUCCUUAAUAUAACUUAUCAAAAAAGUACUUAAGUCAUUGUAAUACCUUUAAAAACUGUUAAUGGUCGUGCGCGUUGCCUUACAUGAGGUCGUUUGAAUAUAUAACUAAGCUUACCCAACAACAAAUCUUUUUUAUUAUUAUAUAUUUACUUAAAAGGUACUUUUAUUAAUCAAAGUUAAAAAUACUCAAGCGUUGCAAACGUAACUGCCAAUUUUGUUUUUUAAAAAUGAUGUGAAAAAAAUUAUUAGAGUAUAAUAAAAAGUUAAAGGUUAUAAUUGAUUGCUUUUUUUCUUUGAAAAAAGUAUGAUUGAGAAAGAAGAGUAUUUUGAUAGGUAUUUAUUCCUUAAUUAAAAAAAAAACUCACCAAAUUAUAAGUGUGAUUGAAAUAUAACAUUAUUUCAAACUAAUCAUAAUGAAAUUAUAAAAAAAACCAUCCAAGAACAAUGAAGGAAUAGAAAAAAAAAGGUCGUCUUUUAGUUCAACUUUAAUUUAGAACAAAUAUAAAAUAUACCAUAAAACAAUUGGAUCAUCAUCGAUUUGCACUUAGACUAUCCAAACACCCUUGUUUAGAUCUUGAAAGAACAUCACAUAUAAUCACUCCAAAUGAUUUUUGAUCCCAUCGAACUUGAAAUAAUUAUAGCUCAAACUUUAUGAAAUUCCAAAGAAUGACAUGGGGACCAAAAUCAAAGCAUAAGGUGGAAAAGGAAAAGGAUAAGGAAGAACCUUAUAUUCUCUAGACUUGAACUCCAAGGAACGUGGGAAUAAGGCAGGCGUUCAACACCUAUACCAGGGAGGGGGGGGUAAAAAGUGGUGGAUAACAAGUUUUAAAUUUGAGAUCUGCCGAUAUGUCACCCAAAAUCCGUUUAAUUUGGGACCGAAUUGGUCUGAAUUAAAAAAAAUAAUAAUAAUUGAUUGACUCAGUAUCGAUUUAAUCAAGAUCUGACCCGGUUACAGAUGACUAAAAUUCAUUAAAUUGUUUUUAAUCUUUUUUUUUAUCAAAACAUAUUAUUUUGACUUUUAAAAAAAUUAGGUCAAUUUGAAUUAAUUAUUCCGACUCGUAACACAGACUUGCCUUUGUUGUUUUAGGUCGAGUUUUAAAUAUAAUAUAUAAGUUAUUAAGUUAUUGAGUUAAUCUUUAUCAGUUCAAUUUAAAUAAAUUAUUUAAAAAAUAAAACUUCAAAACCCAAUCUAAAUCUAGUCAAGUUUGAACCAAGCUAAUCAUGUAAUUAAAAACUUAAUCGAGUUAAUCAGAUUUGAUCUAGUUAAUGACUUUUUAGAUUCAACUUAAGGGUCAUGGUUUUCUAGUAACAACUAGCGGAGACCGGCCGGGUUUAACAUCUAUGAAAUAAUUAACUAUGCUAGUACAGGAAAACUAAUAAGAAACCACAGAUUUACUGCUCUUUGCUUCUAGCAAGUUUGGUUUUUUUUUUUUUUAUUUGUGUUGGGAGAUUCUAGUUUCUUUCCUUGCUGUCAUCUUUCUACUAAUUUUAUCUCCAGAGGAUCAAUAGCUGCAACUUGUAGAAGGCCGCCUUUUCUACCUUAUUUUUCUGCUCUUUAUCUUUAUACAGAUCGCCGAGAAUUAGCAGAACAAGCAAGGAUAUAGUUACUGUAUUGUUUACUAAGAACAUGAUCAAGUGUACUGUAAAAUUAAGUUGCAUCAAUCUGUAAUUAGAUGAUCAUAAUAAAUUGUCAAGCAUUCUGUUUAACAACGAUAAUAAAAAAAAUAGCUUGAUGUUUGUUUGCUUGGUACAUAUCGAUAUUUCACUCAUAAACAACGUUCUUCUUCAUGGGAUGCUCACACUACUCACACAGUACAGUUUCUUCUGUUAGCCCUUCUGCGUAAGUGAUAAGUAAUUUACUAUCAACUAUGAAAGAAUCAAGACAGAAAGGAAGAAGAGACAAAGUAGGAAGGAAGUUAUUUAUUUUCUGCAUAAUUCAAAACAACCUAUUGGCUAUAUUUUAUAGCCGACUAAACAUUGAACAAUAAACUACCUGCUUAAGAAUAGGAAAGCACUAACAAUACGAAACUAAUAAUAAGGAAUUACUCCUUCCACUACGCUAGUUUCCAGCCAUGACCAGUAACUAACAAAGACUCCUUCCUCAUUCACCCCACGUUACUAGUAACUAACAAAGACCCAUUCCUCAUUCAUCCCACGUCCCUGCACCAUGCCUUUACCCACGUAGGAAUGAACAUAUCAAUUCCCCACCCUUAAGAUUCCUUGUCCGCAAGGAAUGCAGGAUAGGACUUAGCCAAUCGGCGUUCAUCUUCCCAAGUGGCAUCAUCAACCGAGGUGCCUGUCCAUUUAAUGAGAACUUCAACCUUUGGACGAUAUUGGCCUUUUUGGAUGACUCUGCGAUCCAGAACUGUCUCAGGUUGAGGCAGAAUAUUGGCUUCAUCAUUCACAGGAGGAAGCUGAGUAGAAAUUGUAGUGACAGGACCAACAUGUUUUUUUAACAUGCUAACAUGAAAGACGUUGUGAAUCAAAGACCCCAAAGGCAAAGCCAAACGAUAAGCUACUGGUCCAACUUUUUCUGUAAUUUGGUAAGGACCAAAAUAGCGGGGUGACAGCUUCAAAGAGCUGCGAAAUGCCACCGAAGUCUGUCGGUAAGGUUGCAGUUUCAGGUAGACAAAGUCGCCCACUUCAUAGUUAACCUCACGACGCCGCUGAUCUGCUUGACAUUUCAUCCGCGCUUGAGCUAAUGAGAGAUUCUUUCUCAACUCACAGAGGAUGGCAUCUCGAUUACGCAAGUAUCCAUCCACAGCCUGUACGUUGGAAGUUCCAGGGACAUACAUCAAUAAGGUUGGAGGUGGAACUCCAUACACUGCCUCAAAAGGUGUCAUUUUGGUUGCUGAAUGGACUGAGGUGUUAUAGCUAAAUUCUGCCCAUGGAAUCCAGUCAAUCCAUUUGCGUGGUUGGUCCCCUGCAAAACACCGCAAGUACUGCUCCAAGACGCGAUUAAUCACCUCAGUCUGGCCGUCCGUUUGAGGGUGGUAGCUUGAACUCAUGCAUAACUUUGUGCCCUGAAGCCGAAACAGUGUGCGCCAAAAAGAACUAAUGAAUACUCUGUCCCGAUCACUAACUAUUGAAGCUGGAAUUCCAUGCAGCCGGACUAUGUGAGAAACGAAUGCUUGUGCAACCGUGGCAGCUGUAUAUGGAUGUUUCAUGGGAACAAAAUGUGCAUAUUUAGACAAACGAUCAACAACCACCAUAACCACCGUAUGCCACUGGAUGGUGGUAACCCCUCAAUGAAAUCCAUGGAUAUGUCAACCCAUAUCCUGUCAGGAAUUGAUAGAGGCUGAAGUAAUCCAGCAGGUCGCAUGGAAUCUGUCUUGUAUCGCUGACAAAUAUCACAGCUACGCAAAAAUUCUUUGACUGUGCCACGCAUUUGCGGCCAGGAGAAGCUUUGUUUGAGUCGGGAUAAGGUUUUAUGAUAACCAAAAUGUCCUCCCGUAGGAGAAGCAUGACAUUCUGUAAUAAUAUCUUGCAGUAAAGAAGAAGUGGGACUCAAAUAAAGCUUACCCUUUUUGAACCAAACUCCAUCCGGUAUGAAAAUGCAGCAGUGGAAGAUGUACUGUCAGCCAAAGGUGUAAAGAAUGGAUCAUGUGCCACUUCAUGUUGAAGCUUCUGCCACCAAUCAACAUGUGGAGUAGAGAUGGAAAGAAACUGACAUUCAGUACCCGUGAAAGAGAAUCAGCUGCCUGGUUGUCAACUCCUUUCUUGUACUCGAUAAUAUAGUCAUAUCCCAUAAUCUUCGGUAACCAACGAGUCUGAGCUGGUGUAGUAAUGCGCUGCUCCAACAAAUAUUUGAGACUUUGUUGGUCUGUGCGCACAAUGAAUGGUUUGCCAGCAAGUAGGGUCUCCAUUUCUUAAUGGACUUCACAAUUGCUAACAUCUCUUUUUCAUAUGUAGAGAGAAUCAGUGUUGAACCUUUCAGAGCCUCACUAUAAUAAGCUAUGGGACGUUGUUUUGAGAAGCACAGCCCUAGGCCAACUCCGCAAGCAUCACACUCAAUGACAAACGGCUGUGUAAAAUCUGGCAGAGCCAAAACAGGAGGAGAUGUUAAUGCUUGUUUCAAAUCGUUGAACGCCUUUUCUGCCAUAUCGUUCCAUUUGAAACCAUCUUGGAUAACAACUGGUUGAGGGGAGCAGCAAUGGUACCAAAAUUCCGAAUAAAUUUUCGGUAGUACCCAGCUAGACCCAAAAAUCCGCGGACCCCUUUAAUGGUGGUUGGAGUAGGCCAUUCCAGAACUGCUCUACGAUUUUGGACGGAUCGACAGAAACCCCUUGUUCUGAUAUAACAUGGCCCAAAUAAUCACUGAAGUAACCCCAAACCUGCAUUUAGAUUCCUUUGCCAAAUAAACUGUUAGUAGACAAGAUUGUCAAAACAGUGUGGAGGUGACUUAAAUGAUCCUCCCAAGAUUUUGAAUACACCAAAAUGUCGUCAAAGAAGACAAGAAUGAAUUUCCGUAAAUGAGAACGGAAGAUAUCAUUCAUAAGACCUUGGAAGGUUGCAGGUGCGUUAGUAAGUCCAAACGGCAUGACAACAAACUCGUAGUGGCCUUCAUGCGUCCUGAAUGCGUUUUAGGAUGUCUUCUUCUGUACCCUGAUUUGGUGAUAACCUGCUCGAAGAUCAAGCUUGGAAAAAAAUUUGGCUCCAUGUAAUUCGUCAAGAAGUUCAUCGAUGACUGGAAUAGGAUAUUUAUCCUUGAUGGUAAGAUCAUUUAGAGCUCGAUAGUCUAUGCAGAAACGCCAAUCCCCAUCUGCUUUCCUGACCAACAAGACCGGUGAAGAAAUGGGCUAUGGCUGGGACGUAUGAACCCUGCGUGUAGUAGCUCCUUUACCAUCCGUUCAAUCUCAGACUUUUGAUAAUAUGGAUAUCUGUAAGGUCGUACACUGACUGGUUGGAUGUUGGGCUGCAGCAUAAUUUGGUGGUCAUGUAGUCGUUUAGGUGGUAAGGUUGUAGGAGGGUUGAAAACGUGAGAGAAAUUGGAUAAGAGUUGGGCUAUUUCAGAGGGGUGUGACUUUGGCUGGGUAGUAGAGCCUACUGGAAUGAUAGCAAAGAAUUGGCUAGAUACGUACAUAGUAUUGAACUCCUUCUCUGUCAACUCUUGUAGGCCGGAUUGUUUCAGCCCUUGGAACACACAUAAAUUUCCAUCUUUUUUGAAAGACAUUGUGAGUCUCUUAUAAUCGGUCUCCACCGGUCCCAGUGUCACAGCCACUGCACCCCAACACUACUGGACACGCUGCUACUGGAAGAAUAAAGUAAUCUGCUGUAACCAUUUGUCCUGUAUCAAGAUGGUGAGUGAAGGACACAAUCCAGUGCAAUCUAUCUUCUCCCCGUUGGCUACUGUCACCUGGAAUUUUUAUUAGGAAUCACAGGUAAUUCAUAUUUGUGGACUAUGGACUGAUCAAUGAAAUUGUGUGUGCUUCCACCAUCUAUCAAUACCAUGACUUCUUUGCUCCUCAAUCUUCCCAUCACCCGAAGGGUUUGGGGUGAGCGUACCUGUAAUUGCAUGGAAGGAAAUUUCAGGAAAGGCUUCCUGGUCCUCUGCCGCUGGUAGAAUCUCCGAUUGUUCCACAGACUCCUGAUCAUUUGAGUCACAAAUCAUGAAUAAUUGGGGUCGUUGGCAGCGAUGACCCGGACUGAAUUUCUCAUCACAAUAGUAACAUAAACCUUUCUCUCGCCGUUCUCGUGCUUCCUGGGUGGAAAUACGUCUGGCAUUUGACGUGGAAUUCAUGCUCUGCCGCAGAUUUGGUGGAGGUCCAAGCACCCCGACAGUAUUACUCAUGCUUGGCUUUGUUGUAGCUGUAGUUGUUGAAUCCGGAAAGGGUGUGUUACCUUCUUUUGAAGUUGGUUUCGUUCUUCAAUCAACCUUGAGACACCGAUGGUAUCUGAUAGUGUGGUUGGGUGCUUAAUCUUGACAUCCAAGCGAAUAUCAUCUCUUAGACCUGCAAUGAAACAGCCGAUAAGGAAGGUUUCUGGAAGGCCAUCAACUUGAUGGGAGAGUUUUUCAAACUCUUCUUGAUAGGCUGCAAUGGUAGAAGUUUGUCGCAGUCCUUGAAAGAGCUUCAGAGGGUCUUCAAAAUCAGUUGGACCAAAACGUCGGAGAAGGGCCUUGGUGAAUUCUUUCCCAUGUUAAUAUGGUCCCUGGAAUUUAGUCAUCCAUCGAUGCCAUUGUAAGGCUAUGCCCUCUAGGUGGAAGGAUGCAAGCGAUACUCGUUGAACAGGUGGAACAUUAUUGUACUCAAAAUACUGCUCAGAUUUGUAAUCCACCCAUAGGAUCUUCCCCGCUGAAUUUUGCAAAAUUCAAUUUUAGUGAAUGAUGGUUUCCUGAGUUGUGACUUGAUGAUUCAGCAGGAGCAAAUGGGUUAAACUUCGGAGGAUUCAUUCUUGGGCUCCUGGAGACGCGUAAGGCUUGUAACUCUGUCAGUAUCGUUUGUAAAGUGCCAUGCACCUGAUCGAGUUGGCUUCGUGUCUAGCCAAAGUUCAUUGACUUCACUGCGGAACUCCGCAUUAGAUUUCCUCUGGUAUCCAUGUUGGAACCAGCUCUGAUACCAAUUGAUAAGUAAUUUACUAUCAACUAUGAAAGAAUCAAGACAGAAAGGAAGAAGAGACAAAGUAGGAAGGAAGUUAUUUAUUUUCUGCAUAAUUCAAAACAACCUAUUGGCUUAUAUUUUAUAGCCGACUAAACAUUGAACAAUAAACUACCUGCUUAAGAAUAGGAAAGCACUAACAAUACGAAACUAAUAAUAAGGAAUUACUCCUCCCACUACGCUAGUUUCCAGCCAUGACCAGUAACUAACAAAGACUCCUUCCUCAUUCACCCACGUUACUAGUAACUAACAAAGACCCAUUCCUCAUUCAUCCCACGUCCCUGCACCAUGCCUUUACCCACGUAGGAAUGAACGUAUCAGUAAGGAACAACUUUCGAAUGAUUUCAAGGCCCUAGGAGGGGAGGAGGAGGAGGAGGAGGAGGUGGAUCAAUGGAAGCUCUAAGUGCUGACACGAAUCUAACUUUGCCACAUUUCUUCCCAUUCUGGAACCUAUUCCAACCAUUUUAUUGCUUCACUAGCUGAAAGUUUUACAAUGUCUGCCGUAUUCCCUCUUCCGAUUAUGGCCCACCUCUAACUCUUGCGGUAAGGAUGAUCAUAUGUUCUAUCAAGCAGCAGAAGCAAUCCCUCUCGUGGAAGGAGCUCUGCCUUGGAACCAAAAGUAAAACUACCUUGCCCUUCAUUUCAGAUACACCUAGCUGUAAAAUGAACUCAAAGAAAAUCGUAUCAGAUGCAAUGUUGUGGAUAGAACGAAAAUCAUAGGUUUUUUUUUUGAAAUCCAAGGAAGAAAAAAACAUUAUUAUAGUGAAUAAUAUUUGCAAGGAGACAUACAGUAAAACCUCAUUCUCUUGUUGUUUUUUAUUUAUGAAAUUGAGAAAAAAUUAAUUAGAUAAAAAAAAUUCUAAUCAAUUUGUCAAAUUUACCAUUUAAAUCAUGAAACUAAGAUAACCUUAUAAAAAUAAAUUAAAAAAAUUAUAAAAUUCAAUCCCAAAUAAAUUUAAUAUUAAAAAUAAAAUUAAUUUUUUUAAAUAUAAAAACAAAAAUAAAUCCCCGUUUAUCUUUAGUUUUUUGGUGAAUUCAGAUACAGGAAAGUCUUAAUAAAAAUAAAAAUCCCGUAAUAAUUUUUUAACUGGGAUAAAAUAACAAUUUCAUGUCAACUGAAAAUAAAAUAAUUAAUUUUUUUUCUUUUAAUUUCUCAUUUCUUCACUUGAUUUUUUUUAGUUAAUAUUUUAUAAGUUGGACUUCAUAAGUUUACAAAAAUAUUCUCUUAUUUUUAAUAUUUUUAUAUAAUUUUUUUAUGUUUUUCCCCUUACUUUUCUCUCUUUCUUUUUUAUCUUUUUUUUUUUUUCCUGUUUUGCUACCUAGUCGGCAACAUAUAAAAGAAAGAAGAAUUGAUUUAUUUUAUUUUUUAAUGGUAAAUAAUUUUUUAUCUUUAAUGAGUCGUUUUGCUUUUAUUUAAAAGAUUUUAUUUUUGCGUUAGCAUUACAAAACUCUGUUUAUCCUAAAAUUUUAACCAUAUUUUAUUCAAUAUUUUAAGAUCCUUCAUAAAAUUUCAGCUCAAUCUGAUAGUGAAAUUGAAAAUUAUAUGUAAUAUAUAAAACUGUUCAAAUAAUGAUUUUUUAUUAAAUUUUUAAAUUUCUCUAAAAUUUCUGAAAUUUUAAACUAAGUUUAAACAUAGACUAUACCUAAAUUUUUAAAAAUUUUAAAUAACUCAAUUAUAAAUUAUUUUUUUAUAUAAACCAAUAAAAAAUCUUGAUAAAAUCUUCAACUAACCCACCCUAACCUUUGCAUUGCCUCCGCCCUUGUUACCACUGUUAAUGUGAUGUUUUGUAUUAAAAAGAUUGGAAAAUACAAUAAAGCCCUUGGUGGUUUAAAGAGAGGGUAUAAAUGAUUGAGGGUUAGUGUGGUAAUUGAACAAUAGUUGAUAAAUAUAAAUAAGAAGAAGAAAAAAAAAAACAAGAAUGAUCUGAUUUUGAGAGAAAGAGAGCUACGGGAGAGAGGGAAAGAGGAAGAAGAAGAAAAGAAAGGAGGAAGGAAAGGAAGGAGAAGAGAAGUAGAGGAAAUAAGUAAAAAGGUAAGAUUUAUGGUUUGAAGUGUUAAUAUGUUUAAUUUCGGUUUUGAUUAAUUUUUAGAGUUUUGAAGUUUGUAUUUUGAGUUAAUUGAUGAAUUAAUUUGAAGGUUAGGAGUUGAUUAUUGUGGGUAUUUGAUUAAUUAGUUGAUUUUGAGAGAUUGAAUUGAAGGAUAAUGAUUUUGAGUUAUGAUUUUGUUUAAAUGGUGAAAUUGUGUUAGAAAUCAGGGGAUAACAGUAGGUGAUCUGUUGAAAUUCUGGUUUGAGGUUGAAGAUGACGAAAAUUCAGUUUGGUCCCUCAAUUUGAAAUUGCAGUUUAGUCCCCGAACUUUGGAAAUUUUACAGAUUGGUCCCUGGGGCAUAAAUUGAGGUUCUGAACAGAACUGAGGAUGAUUUAAGGACAAAAUUCCAGUAUAAUUAAUAUUUUCAGUUUGGUCCUCCAAUUUGACAAAAAGUAUAAUUUGACCCUAAAAUUUGGUAAAGUUCCAGAAUGGUCCUUGGAGCAUAAUGAUAUAUCCUGGACAGAAUUGAGGAUUAAUUAUGGAUCAGAAUUUCAGUAUGGUUAUAUAUUUACAAUUCGGUCCUCAAAUUUUGGUAAAAUUACGUUUUGGUCCCUGUUUUGGAAAAUUGUCGUUUUAGUCCCUAAACUUGGGAGAUUAAGCCCGAUUUUAUUUUAUGCAUUGGAUCUUUUGUUUGAUUUGUUUUUGAGUAUAUUUCAUAUAUUUAUUGUAGGUUCUCCUAACGAUCCUUAAUCGGAUUUUGGGUCUUUCGUCUGACAUUCCUUUAGUUCAGUAUUUUCGGGUGAGUGGAAUAAUCUUUAAUAUGCAUAUAAUAUAAAUAAUAUAUGUAUGUUGAUUAUACAAUGAGUACAAGUAGUAAAUUUCUUGAAUAUUUAUAUAUGUUGCUUUAUUUUCCGAGUACUCAUUUAUUCUUGAAUUUGCACUCGCAAUCUGUAAAGUAAAUUCUAUUUGAUAUGAUAUACGUUUCUUUGAUGAUUAUGUGAAUAUCUGUUAUGCCUUGAUAUGGACUUGUCAGUAACUCUAUGUUCUGUAUACCUAGCUGGUGAGAGAGGCAUCAGCCUGUGGCGAUUGAUCAUCCCACAGUGGUGUCCGACGGGUGUCAUCUGGUCACCUUCGGGUGUCAUCUGAUCUCUGACAUGUAAUCCACUACGUUAUGAUAAUAUGUUACGUUAUGAUAAUAUGUUUAGUAAGUAUAUGUAUAUGUAUAUUAAGAUAAAUCAUCUUAUAAAUUAUUAAUAUCUGAAAUGUAUAUUAAAUGUUAUUCCUUCACUGAGUUGGUUGAACUCACCUCUCAUUUUUAAUAUUAUUUCAGGUUCUUAGUUUCUGGGACUUUGUUGAGUGUUCCCGCUUCUUCAGUUCUGGUCGGUAUGCCUUGCUUGUUCGCGAGGCUUUCCUUUCAGUUUUGAUUUGAUGUCUUAAACGUUCCACUGUUACCUUGGUUUAAUUAAAUUUGGAUUUUGACAAUUUAAUGAGUAUUAUGAAUUAUUAUUUUUGUUUUAAUAACUAUCUUUCAGUUUCAUCAGUAUUUGAAUAAUAUAAUAUUUCUAAAUAUUAUGAGCCGCUGCGUAUUUUUGAACAAAUUGUUCUUUUGAUAUGUCCGUUCUGAGGCUUAGCGUAGGUGAGGUGUCCUUUCGACACCGCUCCUACGUUGCCGGUCACGGAUCCGAGAUUCGGGUCGUGACAGUUAAACAGCAUGGUGCUUUGUUUCCAGCACCGUGUUACCUGUCUCUUGUUUUCUACUGUUUAUUAUAAUUUUAUGGUGAUGAAAUUGAUCGAUGCCGGCCUGUAAACAAAUCUUCCUUCUGCGAAAUAAACAAUGUAUUCGAAUAAGGAGCAGGGACAGAGAGUUCAAAGAUCGAAAGAUUAAUUCAAGUCUUCAUGAACUUUCAUGGGGACUACGAGAUUAAAAAUGCCCCUCGCAACAAGAAGUCUGAAUCAGUUAAUUACUGGAUGUUAUUAAGGGUUUGACUUUUGAGUAUUGAUUCAAAUCCCUAAAGUUUUAAGGCGUUAUGUUCUAAAUCAAAUCCUUGUCAUCGAGGCCUAAGAUAUGCUCUGAUUUCUAGGAGGUUUUCCGAUGAGUGAACAUUGCCAAGGAAAUGGACAUGUAGAAACUAGAAAUGGUACUGCAAACAACACCUUUCAUUAACAAUAAGCAACAUAUUAAAAUACAAAUAACAUGCAGUAGUAGAAAAGCCUCGACAUAUUCCACACCAGAGCUGAUGUGCAUCAUCACAGAUAGUAGCGGCAGCGACGGUGGCCGUGUCUGCCUUGGUUUUUAUUGAAAUAGAUAGUGAUUUAAAACGUAAAUAGCAUACCGUAUUUCCUGGUAAUAAAGCUCAAUCGGUACAGCAACGAUACUGAUGAACUUCUCCAUGGGACGGCCGCAUUCAGCACAAAGAACCCUCUCUUGUACACCGUCCUUCAAUAUCGCAACGAUAGAUGAUGAACUUCUCCCUGUAGCCCCUGGCAGUAUCAGACGGUAGCAGUGGAGUGGGCUUGGAGUUCAUGGAGGUAAUCAAUCAGUGCAGGCAGAAAACCCUUCUCCUGUACACCGUCCUUCCAUAUCUCAAAGUCAACUAAAGAUUUCAGUAUGGUUUCUCCGUUUGCCUUGGCCAUAUCAGCAGGUCCCCUGCUGAUCAAAGCCCACCCUUGAUCACUUCCAUCGAAGCUGAGCACUGUCAUUAUCUCCUGCAUGAUGACGUCAGUCUCUACAGUCCUCUUGUGUUGCACCUUGGAAUGCCACAUGCUCUCCAGCCUAACCCAAAAGAACCAGAUCAAAGUGAGGUCUGGCAAUACAUUGCUAAGUUUCUCGGUCGUAAUGGUAGAGUUGUUUUUCCUAACUUUCUCCCUGGGGUUGCUCUUCCCUACGUAGAGCAUUUCUAACGUUAUAGCGGCCUUGCUCGCAACUUCUUUUGCAGUAACGGUGAAUUUACGGAUCCACUCAAUGUCCUCCCCACCAUACAAGCAUAUGUACUUCCCUUGCUCUAUCUGCAAUAACAAUUAAUUGUGUUAAAUCCAUGAAUAAUGCGCGUAUGAAAUUCCUCUGCACCAGUCGGGUUGUUGUCGGGUUUACAAAUUAGUUUCAAGUUGGGAAAUUUGAAUCCCUCUGCUGAGAAAUUGCAAGUAGUAGAUGAUGUCGAUAGAAUGUUGAGAUAAAGACUGCAUUUUAGUUUGAUUAUUGUAUAUGCAUGCAAGAGAGGAAAGCUAUACCCAAGACACGAUCAUUGGAUUAAUGUUAUCUGCCAAUAGCUCGAUUUUCCAGGUUUCUUCUUUCCAGAGUGCUUCCUCCCUCAUGCUGGUGAAAGGGAAAGCCAGGCUUCCCCAAAUCCACAUCAUGUGGAUUGCAUUGGGGUUGACUACUCUCCCUUGUGGAUCCAAAACCACAAGCAAGGGCCUCUUGUUGAAGUGCCACACCUCUUUGAUGUACCUGAUGACUGCAACAUCGAGCAAUGAAGGGUGAUAGACAGAGUACCAUGGCAUCAUCCUCUGAAAAUCCUCAAACUGCUUUUGCUUUGUUUCAUUCCAUGAUCUGUCCACAACUGGGAGCCAUACAACCUCAUACUGGCUCUCUGGUCUUCCUGGUUGCUCCCGCGCCUCACUGUACAUUUGUUGCAGCAUUGAAAGCUCUCCAUGGGAGAUUUCGAGGUCCGAAAUCAGCAGCAACACGCUCCUCCUUCUCAACACAUCAAGGCUUGCCUGUAAUUAACAGUGGGAAUUCUGUUUUAUCCUUGUAUAUUCAUAUAGGAGGAUCAUUAACAAAUAUUCUCGUCAGGAAGUAUGAUUGAUAUCUGCAUAGCUAUUAUGUGGUAAGAUUUCAAGCAAUCUCUCUGGUCUCUAUCAUCCAGUGAAUUAACUAACAGCAAUAUAAUCUGAAUAAAAUGGACUGAAAGAACAGAACAAUAACCGAACCCUUUUCUUGGUGGAACCAUCAAAGAGUGGUAGUUGAUCGUCCUUGGCAUAAAUCAAAGCCUUUAGAAUCUUCAUGUUGUCAGUGUGGAAAGCUUCGAACAGGCUCACAAGUGUUUGAAAUGCUUCAAUAUGUCUUUUCUCAUCUGGAUCACAGAGAGAUCACUAGUUAUCACCAUCCAGCAUGUAUUUUGCAUCAAAACAUAAUUUUUUUAAAUGGUGAAUAUUAUAAUACUGUUUGAUAUGAAUUGCACUUGUUUGACAGGGUUCGGACUCACCUAUGUGUUGAAAACAAAGGGUGAGCUGCUUCAUGAGAUGGCUGUGAAUGUUAUUAACCUUGUGGGCCAAGCUUGAUAGCUCCCAAGCCUCUGUUGUGGAUGCUAUGUACCUGUGGAGCAGAUAGUGAGAUGCAAAAGAAAAGUUUAGCACCCUUUUCACUCUACUUUUGGCUGCUUUGCAUGCAUGUGAAAACCCUUCUAGUACUUUCAUAGCCAGAGCCAGAGUAGACUGAGCUUUUCUACAUGUUAUUUUGGUGCAAGAAUAUUUCUGAUUAAUAUAAGCAAAUUUAUCAUGGAGAAGGAAACACAUACUCAUGACCCAUGCCAAUAAGGCCCAUAAUUUGCGAUGCGCAAGCCACAAUACUCCUGAUGGUCCAGUAAACAGCAGUGGGGAUAUGCGCGGUGGCAGUUAACAUUUCUGGAGUGUCAGGGGUGAUGUAUUGCGACGGAAGCUCCUUGAACUCAACUAUGCAUUUGGCCACAUCCAACAUGGCCUUGAUAAGGCUUGUGAGUGCCUCAAACUUGGGCUUCAGAUUGUCUGCUCGUUCAAUUAUAUCCGGCAAUUGCUUCAGAAGUGCAACCGCCUUAGCUAGUGGGUUUGUAAGGUAAAGCUGGGCGACAAGCCAAAACUCCCCAUAGUUCACGGCAAAUCCAGCUAACGCUAGCACCACCUUUUCGUCCCACGAGUAGUUUGAUACCAAGUUGAAUAUUGCCAAAGUUGUUGCAUGUGCAUCUCCACCUCCAGAACACUUGCAGGACAUCUGUUGGAAAAAAGCAGCGUAUUCGUAAGUGUCUUUAAACAUCAUGAACUUAUAAACCCACAAAUCUCUUCUGUCCGAACUUACCUCGCAGGAAAUCUUGUUGAUGUUGUAAGACAGCAUCUCGAUCGUUUCAUGAAAGCCAUUUUGAAGAGCCUUCUCCUCCAACUCAUCAAGUUGUGCUUGAUGAGCUCCCUGAAAUAUAGAAGUCACCAGUGAUGAUCAGAAACAUAAUAAUAAUGCUGAAUAAAUUAUCAUACCAAUAUAACAAGCACAUAGAAAUAUAGCAUGCAACUGGUUAGGUAUAUACCUGCUGCUGAACAAUGCUGGUCAUGCCUAGGGCAGGAGUGGCACGGAGGAAAAUGUCCUCAACAAUAUGAAGAAGAGGCUUCACUGAAAAUUCACGGCCAUCAGGAGCAUGAGUGGCCUGAAUUUGCUUCAUCAUUGCGGUGUCAUCCGAUGAUGAAAACAUACUGCGUUCACGCCUCAUCUUUAAAGGUACCACUGCCAUCGAGGUCAUAGAAAACUAUAUAGAUUCAAAUUCUAAGAGGGAAAGAGAGAGGAGCGAACAGCUUGUGUUGGUAUGGAUGUGGUUAGCUGAUCCGAGACUUGUAUUUAUAGGUCAAAUUAAGCUAGAAUUAAUACCUUGCUUCAGACAGGGUCUAAGCUCUAAAGUGCACCAGGGAUAAAUUUUGGAGAAGGUCCUGUCUACAAUAUUGUACCUGAUUUUACUAUCUUUUUGGCUUUGAUUUUAACUAUGUUUUCGAAGAUUCGAAUACUAUGAUUGCUGAUUUUACUUCUAUAUGUUUUGUGGAACACGUUGAUGCUGAGUUUGUCACACAGUCACAGUUUAAAUUUUAAUUUUGUGGAACACGUUGAUUCCGAGCAUGUCACAGGUCCAUACUUUCCGGUCAGCCCAUGAUCGGAAUGUUGUUUCAGCGGCAACGCCCUUGCUCUGCUUGUUGAGACUCAGAAGCUGAAAUCCUUUCGUUUUCUUAUAGAAUCAUUAACGAGUUGUAACUCAUCUGACAUCAAUGUAAUUUACUCUUUUCAAGAGAUCUGGAAUUCAAAUUUCAACGUCAUAGAAUGAAAUUACGUUCUCAAACAAAGAUAAAAGGCAGCAGUACUCUGAUCAUAUUAUUAUGAUGAAGGCAACAUUCAAUCCACAAGCAAUUAUCUGUGCUGCUGCACCCGUGUGUAAAACAAAAUUUCAUGUGUUAUUCUGAAAUGGUUGCACGUUAAUUUUAACCAGACAAUACGAUGAAGGAAUGGAGAAAAUGUUUAUGAACUUUCUCUGAAGAAUGUUUCUUUGUCUUUUAUGACGUAAGAAACCUUUCAUCAUUAAAGUUAAAGGUGAUUAGAUGCUCAUUGUUUUCUCUGUUUUUUCCAUAUCACCAGCAAUAAUGACGCAUCUCUUUCCUUCACUUUGUGGUAGGGUUUUUGUGUUUUAAUAUUUUUUUUUAAAAAAUUAAUUUUUAUUAUUUUAAAUUAAUUUUUAAAUAAUUUUAAUAUACUGAUAUCAAAAAUAGAUUUUAUUUAAUUAUAAUUUUUAAAAACACUUUAAAAAAUAAUUAUAUCAUAAAACCAAACAAACUCAUCAUCAUUAAUUAUUAAAAAUAAAUUUUAAUAGUUCAUGAUAAAUAAAUAAAUAAAUUCAUGUUGUUUAUUAAAACUAAUUAAUUAGUUUUUAUAGUAUAAAAAAUGAUUAAAGAGUCCCCUAACCAAUACUUACCAUCCUUAAUUCAAUAGGAUUUUCUUUUCUUCUAAGAAAUUUCUACUUUUCUGAUUAGAUCUCUUCAUCUUACAUGCUUUUUUAGUUUCUCUUUUCUUUUUAUUUCUCAAACAAAAAAAAAAAUAAAAAUAAAAACCAAAACAAAUAUAAAAUUGAAGAAAGGAACAUCCAAACCAAGCCACCUUUCUAAAUUUAUGAGGAUUAAUUGAUUAAUUAAUUUUGUCAAACUGUAAAUACUAAUUUAUAGUUUAGUCACCACGAACCAUCCAGAUUCUGAACUCUAAGCCAAGCCACCUUUCUCCCCAUUUCUUUACAUUUUAAAAGGGUGUUUCCUAUUUACUCUUCCUGCAUGAGUUAAGUUAUUUAUGAGAAUUAUUUCUUCCUCGUAUUAAUUAUUUAAUUAUUUAAUUUUAAAUUAAUAUAUUUUUUAGUGUUUUUAGAUUAUUUUGAUACACUAAUAUCCAAAACAAUUUUAAAAAAUAAAAAAAUAUUAUUAAAAUAUAUUUUUAAAUAAAAAAUAUUUUAAAAAACAAUUAUAAUCAUUCUUCCAAUUAAAUCCUUAAUAUAACUUAUCAAAAAAGUACUUUAAGUCAUUGUAAUACCUUUAAAAACUGUCAAUGGUCGUGCGCGUUGCCUUACAUGAGGUCGUUUGAAACUUUGAAUAUAUAACUAAGCUUACCCAACUACAAAUCUUUUUUAUUAUUAUAUAUUUACUUAAAAGGUACUUUUAUUAAUCAAAGUUAAAAAUACUCAAGCGUUGCAAACGUAACUGCCAAUUUUGUUUUUUAAAAAUGAUGUGAAAAAAAUUAUUAGAGUAUAAUAAAAAGUUAAAGGUUAUAAUUGAUUGCUUUUUUUCUUUGAAAAAAGUAUGAUUGAGAAAGAAGAGUAUUUUGAUAGGUAUUUAUUCCUUAAUUAAAAAAAAAACUCACCAAAUUAUAAGUGUGAUUGAAAUAUAACAUUAUUUCAAACUAAUCAUAAUGAAAUUAUAAAAAAAACCAUCCAAGAACAAUGAAGGAAUAGAAAAAAAAGGUCGUCUUUUAGUUCAACUUUAAUUUAGAACAAAUAUAAAAUAUACCAUAAAACAAUUGGAUCAUCAUCGAUUUGCACUUAGACUAUCCAAACACCCUUGUUUAGAUCUUGAAAGAACAUCACAUAUAAUCACUCCAAAUGAUUUUUGAUCCCAUCGAACUUGAAAUAAUUAUAGCUCAAACUUUAUGAAAUUCCAAAGAAUGACAUGGGGACCAAAAUCAAAGCAUAAGGUGGAAAAGGAAAAGGAUAAGGAAGAACCUUAUAUUCUCUAGACUUGAACUCCAAGGAAUGUGGGAAUAAGGCAGGCGUUCAGCACCUAUACCAGGGAGGGGGGGGGGUAAAAAGUGGUGGAUAACAAGUUUUAGAAUUUGAGAUAUGCCGAUAUGUCACCCAAAAUCCGUUUAAUUUGGGACAAAAUUGGUCUGAAUUGAAAAUAAUAAUAAUAAUAAUUGAUUGACUCAGUGAUCGAUUUAAUCAAGAUCUGACUCGGUUACAGAUGACUAAAAAUUCAUUAAAUUGUUUUUAAUCUUUUUUUUUAUCAAAACAAUAUUAUUUUGAUUUUUUAAAAAAAUUAGAUCAAUUUGAAUUAAUUAUUCCGACUCGUAACACAGACUUGCCUUUGUUGUUUUAGGUCGAGUUUUAAAACUAUAAUAUAUAAGUUAUUAAGUUAUUGAGUUAAUCUUUAUCAGUUCAAUUUAAAUAAAUUAUUUUUUUUAAAAAUAAAACUUCCAAACCCAAUCUAAAUCUAGUCAAGUUUGAACCAAGCUAAUCAUGUAAUUAAAAACUUAAUCGAGUUAAUCAGAUUUGAUCUAGUUAAUGACUUUUUAGAUUCAACUUAAGGGUCAUGGUUUUCUAGUAACAACUAGCGGAGACCGGCCGGGUUUAACAUCUAUGAAAUAAUUAACUAUGCUAGUACAGGAAAACUAAUAAGAAACCACAGAUUUACUGCUCUUUGCUUCUAGCAAGUUUGGUUUUUUUUUUUUUUAUUUGUGUUGGGAGAUUCUAGUUUCUUUCCUUGCUGUCAUCUUUCUACUAAUUUUAUCUCCAGAGGAUCAAUAGCUGCAACUUGUAGAAGGCCGCCUUUUCUACCUUAUUUUUCUGCUCUUUAUCUUUAUACAGAUCGCCGAGAAUUAGCAGAACAAGCAAGGAUAUAGUUACUGUAUUGUUUACUAAGAACAUGAUCAAGUGUACUGUAAAAUUAAGUUGCAUCAAUCUGUAAUUAGAUGAUCAUAAUAAAUUGUCAAGCAUUCUGUUUAACAACGAUAAUAAAAAAAAUAGCUUGAUGUUUGUUUGCUUGGUACAUAUCGAUAUUUCACUCAUAAACAACGUUCUUCUUCAUGGGAUGCUCACACUACUCACACAGUACAGUUUCUUCUGUUAGCCCUUCUGCGUAAGUGAUAAGUAAUUUACUAUCAACUAUGAAAGAAUCAAGACAGAAAGGAAGAAGAGACAAAGUAGGAAGGAAGUUAUUUAUUUUCUGCAUAAUUCAAAACAACCUAUUGGCUAUAUUUUAUAGCCGACUAAACAUUGAACAAUAAACUACCUGCUUAAGAAUAGGAAAGCACUAACAAUACGAAACUAAUAAUAAGGAAUUACUCCUCCACUACGCUAGUUUCCAGCCAUGACCAGUAACUAACAAAGACUCCUUCCUCAUUCACCCCACGUUACAGUAACUAACAAAGACCCAUUCCUAUUCAUCCCACGUCCCUGCACCAUGCCUUUACCCACGUAGGAAUGAACAUAUCAAUUCCCCACCCUUAAGAUUCCUUGUCCGCAAGGAAUGCAGGAUAGGACUUAGCCAAUCGGCGUUCAUCUUCCCAAGUGGCAUCAUCAACGAGGGCCUGUCCAUUUAAUGAGAACUUCAACCUUUGGACGAUAUUGGCCUUUUUGGAUGACUCUGCGAUCCAGAACUGUCUCAGGUUGAGGCAGAAUAUUGGCUUCAUCAUUCACAGGAGGAAGCUGAGUAGAAAUUGUAGUGACAGGACCAACAUGUUUUUUUAACAUGCUAACAUGAAAGACGUUGUGAAUCAAAGACCCCAAAGGCAAAGCCAAACGAUAAGCUACUGGUCCAACUUUUUCUGUAAUUUGGUAAGGACCAAAAUAGCGGGGUGACAGCUUCAAAGAGCUGCGAAAUGCCACCGAAGUCUGUCGGUAAGGUUGCAGUUUUAGGUAGACAAAGUCGCCCACUUCAUAGUUAACCUCACGGCGCCGCUGAUCUGCUUGACAUUUCAUCCGCGCUUGAGCUAAUGAGAGAUUCUUUCUCAACUCACAGAGGAUGGCAUCUCGAUUACGCAAGUAUCCAUCCACAGCCUGUACGUUGGAAGUUCCAGGGACAUACAUCAAUAAGGUUGGAGGUGGAACUCCAUACACUGCCUCAAAAGGUGUCAUUUUGGUUGCUGAAUGGACUGAGGUGUUAUAGCUAAAUUCUGCCCAUGGAAUCCAGUCAAUCCAUUUGCGUGGUUGGUCCCCUGCAAAACACCGCAAGUACUGCUCCAAGACGCGAUUAAUCACCUCAGUCUGGCCGUCCGUUUGAGGGUGGUAGCUUGAACUCAUGCAUAACUUUGUGCCCUGAAGCCGAAACAGUGUGCGCCAAAAAGAACUAAUGAAUACUCUGUCCCGAUCACUAACUAUUGAAGCUGGAAUUCCAUGCAGCCGGACUAUGUGAGAAACGAAUGCUUGUGCAACCGUGGCAGCUGUAUAUGGAUGUUUCAUGGGAACAAAAUGUGCAUAUUUAGACAAACGAUCAACAACCACCAUAACCACCGUAUGCCACUGGAUGGUGGUAACCCCUCAAUGAAAUCCAUGGAUAUGUCAACCCAUAUCCUGUCAGGAAUUGAUAGAGGCUGAAGUAAUCCAGCAGGUCGCAUGGAAUCUGUCUUGUAUCGCUGACAAAUAUCACAGCUACGCAAAAAUUCUUUGACUGUGCCACGCAUUUGCGGCCAGGAGAAGCUUUGUUUGAGUCGGAUAAGGUUUUAUGAUAACCAAAAUGUCCCCGUAGGAGAAGCAUGACAUUCUGUAAUAAUCUUGCAGUAAAGAAGAAGUGGGACUCAAAUAAUGCUUACCCUUUUUGAACCAAACUCCAUCCGGUAUGAAAAUGCAGCAGUGGAGAUGUACUGUCAGCCAAAGGUGUAAAGAAUGGAUCAUGUGCCACUUCAUGUUGAAGCUUCUGCCACCAAUCAACAUGUGGAGUAGAGAUGGAAAGAAACUGACAUUCAGCUACCCGUGAAAGAGAAUCAGCUGCCUGGUUGUCAACUCCUUUCUUGUACUCGAUAAUUAGUCAUAUCCCAUAAUCUUCGGUAACCAACGAGUCUGAGCUGGUGUAGUAAUGCGCUGCUCCAACAAAUAUUUGAGACUUUGUUGGUCUGUGCGCACAAUGAAUGGUUUGCCGAGCAAGUAGGGUCUCCAUUUCUUAAUGGACUUCACAAUUGCUAACAUCUCUUUUUCAUAUGUAGAGAGAAUCAGUGUUGAACCUUUCAGAGCCUCACUAUAAUAAGCUAUGGGACGUUGUUUUGAGACAGCACAGCCCCUAGGCCAACUCCGCAAGCAUCACACUCAAUGACAAACGGCUGUGUAAAAUCUGGCAGAGCCAAAACAGGAGGAGAUGUUAAUGCUUGUUUCAAAUCGUUGAACGCCUUUUCUGCCAUAUCGUUCCAUUGAAACCAUCUUGGAUAACAACUGGUUGAGGGGAGCAGCAAUGGUACCAAAAUUCCGAAUAAAUUUUCGGUAGUACCCAGCUAGACCCAAAAAUCCGCGGACCCCUUUAAUGGUGGUUGGAGUAGGCCAUUCCAGAACUGCUACGAUUUUGGACGGAUCGACAGAAACCCCUUGUUCUGAUAUAACAUGGCCCAAAUAAUCCUGAAGUAACCCCAAACCUGCAUUUAGAUUCCUUUGCCAAUAAACUGUUAGUAGACAAGAUUGUCAAAACAGUGUGGAGGUGACUUAAAUGAUCCUCCCAAGAUUUUGAAUACACCAAAAUGUCGUCAAAGAAGACAAGAAUGAAUUUCCGUAAAUGAGAACGGAAGAUAUCAUUCAUAAGACCUUGGAAGGUUGCAGGUGCGUUAGUAAGUCCAAACGGCAUGACAACAAACUCGUAGUGGCCUUCAUGCGUCCUGAAUGCGUUUUAGGGAUGUCUCUUCUGUACCCUGAUUUGGUGAUAACCUGCUCGAAGAUCAAGCUUGGAAAAAAAUUUGGCUCCAUGUAAUUCGUCAAGAAGUUCAUCGAUGACUGGAAUAGGAUAUUUAUCCUUGAUGGUAAGAUCAUUUAGAGCUCGAUAGUCUAUGCAGAAACGCCAAUCCCCAUCUGCUUUCCUGACCAACAAGACCGGUGAAGAAAAUGGGCUAUGGCUGGGACGUAUGAACCCUGCGUGUAGUAGCUCCUUUACCAUCCGUUCAAUCUCAGACUUUUGAUAAUAUGGAUAUCUGUAAGGUCGUACACUGACUGGUUGGAUGUUGGGCUGCAGCAUAAUUUGGUGGUCAUGUAGUCGUUUAGGUGGUAAGGUUGUAGGAGGGUUGAAAACGUGAGAGAAAUUGGAUAAGAGUUGGGCUAUUUCAGAGGGGUGUGACUUUGGCUGGGUAGUAGAGCCUACUGGAAUGAUAGCAAAGAAUUGGCUAGAUACGUACAUAGUAUUGAACUCCUUCUCUGUCAACUCUUGUAGGCCGGAUUGUUUCAGCCCUUGGAACACACAUAAAUUUCCAUCUUUUUUGAAAGACAUUGUGAGUCUCUUAUAAUCGGUCUCCACCGGUCCCAGUGUCACCAGCCACUGCACCCCCAACACUACUGGACACGCUGCUACUGGAAGAAUAAAGUAAUCUGCUGUAACCAUUUGUCCCUGUAUCAAGAUGGUGAGUGAAGGACACAAUCCAGUGCAAUCUAUCUUCUCCCCGUUGGCUACUGUCACCUGGAAUUUUUUAUUAGGAAUCACAGGUAAUUCAUAUUUGUGGACUAUGGACUGAUCAAUGAAAUUGUGUGUGCUUCCACCAUCUAUCAAUACCAUGACUUCUUUGCUCCUCAAUCUUCCCAUCACCCGAAGGGUUUGGGGGUGAGCCGUACCUGUAAUUGCAUGGAAGGAAAUUUCAGGAAAGGCUUCCUGGUCCUCUGCCGCUGGUAGAAUCUCCGAUUGUUCCACAGACUCCUGAUCAUUUGAGUCAUAAAUCAUGAAUAAUUGGGGUCGUUGGCAGCGAUGACCCGGACUGAAUUUCUCAUCACAAUAGUAACAUAAACCUUUCUCUCGCCGUUCUCGUGCUUCCUGGGUGGAAAUACGUCUGGCAUUUGACGUGGAAUUCAUGCUCUGCCGCAGAUUUGGUGGAGGUCCAAGCACCCCGACAGUAUUACUCAUGCUUGGCUUUGUUGUAGCUGUAGUUGUUGAAUCCGGAAAGGGUGUGUUACCUUCUUUUGAAGUUGGUUUCGUUCUUCAAUCAACCUUGAGACACCGAUGGUAUCUGAUAGUGUGGUUGGGUGCUUAAUCUUGACAUCCAAGCGAAUAUCAUCUCUUAGACCUGCAAUGAAACAGCCGAUAAGGAAGGUUUCUGGAAGGCCAUCAACUUGAUGGGAGAGUUUUUCAAACUCUUCUUGAUAGGCUGCAAUGGUAGAAGUUUGUCGCAGUCUUGAAAGAGCUUCAGAGGGGUCUUCAAAAUCAGUUGGACCAAAACGUCGGAGAAGGGCCUUGGUGAAUUCUUCCCAUGUUAAUGGUCCCUGGAAUUUAGUCAUCCAUCGAUGCCAUUGUAAGGCUAUGCCCUCUAGGUGGAAGGAUGCAAGCGAUACUCGUUGAACAGGUGGAACAUUAUUGUACUCAAAAUACUGCUCAGAUUUGUAAAUCCACCCCAUAGGAUCUUCCCCGCUGAAUUUUGCAAAAUUCAAUUUUAGUGAAUGAUGGUUUCCUGAGUUGUGACUUGAUGAUUCAGCAGGAGCAAAUGGGUUAAACUUCGGAGGAUUCAUUCUUGGGCUCCUGGAGACGCGUAAGGCUUGUAACUCUGUCAGUAUCGUUUGUAAAGUGCCAUGCACCUGAUCGAAGUUGGCUUCGUGUCUAGCCAAAGGUUCAUUGACUUCACUGCGGAACUCCGCAUUAGAUUUUCCUCUGGUAUCCAUGUUGGAACCAGCUCUGAUACCAAUUGAUAAGUAAUUUACUAUCAACUAUGAAAGAAUCAAGACAGAAAGGAAGAAGAGACAAAGUAGGAAGGAAGUUAUUUAUUUUCUGCAUAAUUCAAAACAACCUAUUGGCUAUAUUUUAUAGCCGACUAAACAUUGAACAAUAAACUACCUGCUUAAGAAUAGGAAAGCACUAACAAUACGAAACUAAUAAUAAGGAAUUACUCCUCCCACUACGCUAGUUUCCAGCCAUGACCAGUAACUAACAAAGACUCCUUCCUCAUUCACCCCACGUUACUAGUAACUAACAAAGACCCAUUCCUCAUUCAUCCCACGUCCCUGCACCAUGCCUUUACCCACGUAGGAAUGAACGUAUCAGUAAGGAACAACUUUCGAAUGAUUUCAAGGCCCUAGAGGAGGAGGAGGAGGAGGAGGAGGAGGAGGUGGAUCAAUGGAAGCUCUAAGUGCUGACACGAAUCCUAACUUUGCCACAUUUUCUUCCCAUUCUGGAAACCUAUCCAACCAUUUUAUUGCUUCACUAGCUGAAAGUUUUACAAUGUCUGCCGUAUUCCCUCUUCCGAUUAUGGCCCACCCUCUAACUUCUUGCGGUAAGGAUGAUCAUAUGUUCUAUCAAGCAGCAGAAGCAAUCCCUCUCGUGGAAGGAGCUCUGCCUUGGAUACCAAAAGUAAAACUACCUUGCCCUUCAUUUCAGAUACACCUAGCUGUAAAUGAACUCAAAGAAAAUCGUAUCAGAUGCAAUGUUGUGGAUAGAACGAAAAUCAUAGGUUUUUUUUUUGAAAUCCAAGGAAGAAAAAAAACAUUAUUAUAGUGAAUAAUAUUUGCAAGGAGACAUACAGUAAAACCUCAUUCUCUUGUUGUUUUUUAUUUAUGAAAUUGAGAAAAAAUUAAUUAGAUAAAAAAAAAAUUCUAAUCAAUUUGUCAAAUUUACCAUUUAAAUCAUGAAACUAAGAUAACCUUAUAAAAAAUAAAUUAAAAAAAUUAUAAAAUUCAAUCCCAAAUAAAUUUAAUAUUAAAAAAUAAAAUUAAUUUUUUUAAAAAAUAUAAAAACAAAAAUAAAAUCCCCGUUUAUCUUUAGUUUUUUGGUGAAUUCAGAAUACAGGAAAGUCUUAAUAAAAAUAAAAUCCCCGUAAUAAUUUUUUAACUGGGAUAAAAUAACAAUUUCAUGUCAACUGAAAAAUAAAAUAAUUAAUUUUUUUUCUUUUAAUUUCUCAUUUCUUCACUUGAUUUUUUUUUAGUUUAAUAUUUUAUAAGUUGGACUUCAUAAGUUUACAAAAAUAUUCUCUUAUUUUUUAAUAUUUUUAUAUAAUUUUUUUAUGUUUUCCCCUUACUUUUCUCUCUUUCUUUUUUAUCUUUUUUUUUUUUUCCUGUUUUGCUACCUAGUCGGCAACAUAUAAAAAGAAAGAAGAAUUGAUUUAUUUUAUUUUUUAAUGGUAAAUAAUUUUUUUAUCUUUAAUGAGUCGUUUUGCUUUUAUUUAAAAGAUUUUAUUUUUGCGUUAGCAUUACAAAACUCUGUUUAUCCUAAAAUUUUAACCAUAUUUUAUUCAAUAUAUUUUAAGAUCCUUCAUAAAAUUUCAGCUCAAUCUGAUAGUGAAAUUGAAAAUUAUAUGUAAUAAUAUAAAACUGUUCAAAUAAUGAUUUUUUAUUAAAUUUUUAAAUUUCUCUAAAAUUUCUGAAAUUUUAAACUAAGUUUAAACAUAGACUAUACCUAAAUUUUUAAAAAUUUUAAAUAACUCAAUUAUAAAUUAUUUUUUUAUAUAAAACCAAUAAAAAAAUCUUGAUAAAAUCUUCAACUAACCCACCCUAACCUUUGCAUUGCCUCCGCCCUUGUUACCACUGUUAAUGUGAUGUUUUUGUAUUAAAAAGAUUGGAAAAUACAAUAAAGCCCUUGGUGGUUUAAAGAGAGGGUAUAAAUGAUUGAGGGUUAGUGUGGUAAUUGAACAAUAGUUGAUAAAUAUAAAUAAGAAGAAGAAAAAAAAAAACAAGAAUGAUCUGAUUUUGAGAGAAAGAGAGCUACGGGAGAGAGGGAAAGAGGAAGAAGAAGAAAAGAAAGGAGAGAAGGAAAGGAAGGAGAAGAGAAGUAGAGGAAAUAAGUAAAAAGGUAAGAUUUAUGGUUUGAAGUGUAUAAUAUGUUGAAUUUCGGUUUUGAUUAAUUGUAGAGUUUUGAAGUUUGUAUUUUGAGUUAAUUGAUGAAUUAAUUUGAAGGUUAGGAGUUGAUUAUUGUGGGUAUUUGAUUAAUUAGUUGAUUUUGAGAGAUUGAAUUGAAGGAUAAUGAUUUUGAGUUAUGAUUUUGUUUAAAUGGUGAAAUUUUGUUAGAAAUCAGGGGAUAACAGUAGGUGAUCUGUUGAAAUUCUGGGUUUGAGGUUGAAGAUGACGAAAAUUCAGUUUGGGCCCUCAAUUUACGGAAAUUGCAGUUUAGUCCCCGAACUUUGGAAAUUUUACAGAUUGGCCCCUGGGGCAUAAAUUGAGGUUCUGAACAGAACUGAGGAUGAUUUAAGGACAAAAUUCCAGUAUAAUUAAUAUUUUCAGUUUGGUCCUCCAAUUUGACAAAAAGUAUAAUUUGACCCUAAAAAUUUGGUAAAGUUCCAGAAUGGUCCUUGGAGCAUAAUGAUAUAUCCUGGACAGAAUUGAGGAUUAAUUAUGAUCAGAAUUUCAGUAUGGUUAUAUAUUUACAAUUCGGUCCUCAAAUUUUGGUAAAAUUACGUUUUGGUCCCUGUUUUGGAAAAUUGUCGUUUUAGUCCCUAAACUUGGGAGAUUAAGCCCGAUUUUAUUUUAUGCAUUGAGAUCUUUUUUUUUUUGAUUUGUUUUUGAGUAUAUUUCAUAUAUUUAUUGUAGGUUCUCCUAACGAUCCUUAAUCAGAUUUUUGGGUCUUUCGUCUGACAUUCCUUUAGUUCAGUAUUUUUCGGGUGAGUGGAAUAAUCUUUAAUAUGCAUAUAAUAUAAAUAUAUAUGUAUGUUGAUUAUACAAUGAGUACAAGUAGUAAAUUUCUUGAAUAUUUAUAUAUGUUGCUUUAUUUUCCAAGUACUCAUUUAUUCUUAAAUUUGCACUCGCAAUCUGUCAAAGUAAAUUCUAUUUGAUAUGAUAUAUGUUUCUUUGAUGAUUAUGUGAAUAUCUGUUAUGCAUUGAUAUGCGACUUGUCAGUAACUCUAUUCUGUAUACCUAGCUGGUGAGAGAGGCAUCAGCCUGUGGCGAUUGAUCAUCCCACAGUGGUGUCCGACGGGUGUCAUCUGGUCAACUUCGGGUGUCAUCUGAUCUCUGACAUGUAAUCCACUACGUUAUGAUAAUAUGUUACGUUAUGAUAAUAUGUUUAGUAAGUAUAUGUAUAUGUAUAUUAAGAUAAAUCAUCUUAUAAAUUAUUAAUAUCUGAAAUGUAUAUUAAAUGUUAUUCCUUCACUGAGUUGGUUGAACUCACCUCUCAUUUUUAAUAUUAUUUCAGGUUCUUAGUUUCUGGGACUUUGUUGAGUGUUCCCGCUUCUUCAGUUCUGGUCGGUAUGCCUUGCUUGUUCGCGAGGCUUUCCUUUCAGUUUUGAUUUGAUGUCUUAAACGUUCCACUGUUACCUUGGUUUAAUUAAAUUUGGAUUUUGACAAUUUAAUGAGUAUUAUGAAUUAUUAUUUUUGUUUUAAUAACUAUCUUUCAGUUUCAUCAGUAUUUGAAUAAUAUAAUAUUUCUAAAUAUUAUGAGCCGCUGCGUAUUUUUGAACAAAUUGUUCUUUUGAUAUGUCCGUUCUGAGGCUUAGCGUAGGUGAGGUGUCCUUUCGACACCGCUCCUACGUUGCCGGUCACGGAUCCGAGAUUCGGGUCGUGACAGUUAAACAGCAUGGUGCUUUGUUUCCAGCACCGUGUUACCUGUCUCUUGUUUUCUACUGUUUAUUAUAAUUUUAUGGUGAUGAAAUUGAUCGAUGCCGGCCUGUAAACAAAUCUUCCUUCUGCGAAAUAAACAAUGUAUUCGAAUAAGGAGCAGGGACAGAGAGUUCAAAGAUCGAAAGAUUAAUUCAAGUCUUCAUGAACUUUCAUGGGGACUACGAGAUUAAAAAUGCCCCUCGCAACAAGAAGUCUGAAUCAGUUAAUUACUGGAUGUUAUUAAGGGUUUGACUUUUGAGUAUUGAUUCAAAUCCCUAAAGUUUUAAGGCGUUAUGUUCUAAAUCAAAUCCUUGUCAUCGAGGCCUAAGAUAUGCUCUGAUUUCUAGGAGGUUUUCCGAUGAGUGAACAUUGCCAAGGAAAUGGACAUGUAGAAACUAGAAAUGGUACUGCAAACAACACCUUUCAUUAACAAUAAGCAACAUAUUAAAAUACAAAUAACAUGCAGUAGUAGAAAAGCCUCGACAUAUUCCACACCAGAGCUGAUGUGCAUCAUCACAGAUAGUAGCGGCAGCGACGGUGGCCGUGUCUGCCUUGGUUUUUAUUGAAAUAGAUAGUGAUUUAAAACGUAAAUAGCAUACCGUAUUCCUGGUAAUAAAGCUCAAUCGGUACAGCAACGAUACAUGAUGAACUUCUCCAUGGGACGGCCGCAUUCAGCACAAAGAACCCUCUCUUGUACACCGUCCUUCAAUAUCGCAACGAUAGAUGAUGAACUUCUCCCUGUAGCCCCUGGCAGUAUCAGACGGUAGCAGUGGAGUGGGCUAUGGAGUUCAUGGAGGUAAUCAAUCAGUGCAGGCAGAAAACCCUUCUCCUGUACACCGUCCUUCCAUAUCUCAAAGUCAACUAAAGAUUUCAGUAUGGUUUCUCCGUUUGCCUUGGCCAUAUCAGCAGGUCCCCUGCUGAUCAAAGCCCACCCUUGAUCACUUCCAUCGAAGCUGAGCACUGUCAUUAUCUCCUGCAUGAUGACGUCAGUCUCUACAGUCCUCUUGUGUUGCACCUUGGAAUGCCACAUGCUCUCCAGCCUAACCCAAAAGAACCAGAUCAAAGUGAGGUCUGGCAAUACAUUGCUAAGUUUCUCGGUCGUAAUGGUAGAGUUGUUUUUCCUAACUUUCUCCCUGGGGUUGCUCUUCCCUACGUAGAGCAUUUCUAACGUUAUAGCGGCCUUGCUCGCAACUUCUUUUGCAGUAACGGUGAAUUUACGGAUCCACUCAAUGUCCUCCCCACCAUACAAGCAUAUGUACUUCCCUUGCUCUAUCUGCAAUAACAAUUAAUUGUGUUAAAUCCAUGAAUAAUGCGCGUAUGAAAUUCCUCUGCACCAGUCGGGUUGUUGUCGGGUUUACAAAUUAGUUUCAAGUUGGGAAAUUUGAAUCCCUCUGCUGAGAAAUUGCAAGUAGUAGAUGAUGUCGAUAGAAUGUUGAGAUAAAGACUGCAUUUUAGUUUGAUUAUUGUAUAUGCAUGCAAGAGAGGAAAGCUAUACCCAAGACAAGAUCAUUGGAUCAAUGCUAUCUGCCAAUAGCUCGAUUUCCAGGUUUCUUCUUUCCAGAGUGCUUCCUCCCUCAAGCUGGUGAAAGGGAAAGCCAGGCUUCCCCAAAUCCACAUCAUGUGGAUUGCAUUGGGGUUGACUACUCUCCCUUGUGGAUCCAAAACCACAAGCAAGGGCCUCUUGUUGAAGUGCCACACCUCUUUGAUGUACCUGAUGACUGCAACAUCGAGCAAUGAAGGGUGAUAGACAGAGUACCAUGGCAUCAUCCUCUGAAAAUCCUCAAACUGCUUUUGCUUUGUUUCAUUCCAUGAUCUGUCCACAACUGGGAGCCAUACAACCUCAUACUGGCUCUCUGGUCUUCCUGGUUGCUCCCGCGCCUCACUGUACAUUUGUUGCAGCAUUGAAAGCUC